RNAcentral lists this long non-coding RNA (408 nucleotides) under Olea europaea subsp. europaea. Lineage: Eukaryota; Viridiplantae; Streptophyta; Magnoliopsida; Lamiales; Oleaceae. The record is from RNAcentral.
CAUUCUAAUUGAUAAAUUAUUUUUACAUAAUUCACGAAAUCCUAGUUCGAUAAAUCCUUUAAACAAUUCGUCCAUCUCCCUAUGGAAUCGACUCCCCAAAGCUGUCAAUACAACUAUUAAUGUGAUUAUUCCAACUAUAUUGAGUAUCAUACAUGUAACGAUUGUAGUAGGGAUCUUCACUAGUGGAUCCAUUAUUCAGAUAACUAGAAUUCCGAAUACUAUAAAAAGAACUUUCUAGUUCACUCAGAAAAGAAUGAUCAUUGUCAAUUUCAAAAAUAUGAUUUUCAAUAUAAAAAUAGAUAGAAUAACUGUUCGCGUUAUUCUUUGGGCGUAAUCACUCCUGUUAGCUCCAAAUUGGCUUUCUCUAGAGCUUCAGCCAUUACUUUCUGGUGAUUAUUUGAAAUAUCC